GGUACCAUAGUGUAGCAGUUAGCACGUCUGCUUCAUAAGCAGAAGGUCCUGGGUCCCCACCCCAGUGGAGCCA
RNAcentral lists this transfer RNA (73 nucleotides) under Pteropus alecto (black flying fox). It matches the Rfam family "tRNA". From Rfam's summary of the family: Transfer RNA (tRNA) molecules are approximately 80 nucleotides in length. Their secondary structure includes four short double-helical elements and three loops (D, anti-codon, and T loops). Further hydrogen bonds mediate the characteristic L-shaped molecular structure. tRNAs have two regions of fundamental functional importance: the anti-codon, which is responsible for specific mRNA codon recognition, and the 3' end, to which the tRNAs corresponding amino acid is attached (by aminoacyl-tRNA synthetases). tRNAs cope with the degeneracy of the genetic code in two manners: having more than one tRNA (with a specific anti-codon) for a particular amino acid; and 'wobble' base-pairing, i.e. permitting non-standard base-pairing at the 3rd anti-codon position. The record is from Rfam by way of RNAcentral. Lineage: Eukaryota; Metazoa; Chordata; Mammalia; Chiroptera; Pteropodidae.